RNAcentral lists this ribosomal RNA (468 nucleotides) under uncultured bacterium. Its description in RNAcentral is "partial 16S ribosomal RNA". It matches the Rfam family "Bacterial small subunit ribosomal RNA", at positions 28 to 507 of the family's 1533-position model. The record is from RNAcentral.
GACGAACGCUGGCGGCGUGCUUAACACAUGCAAGUCGAACGGAAAGGCCCUGCUUUUGUGGGGUGCUCGAGUGGCGAACGGGUGAGUAACACGUGAGUAACCUGCCCUUGACUUUGGGAUAACUUCAGGCAACUGGGGCUAAUCCCGGAUAGGAGCUCCUGCUGCAUGGUGGGGGUUGGAAAGUUUCGGCGGUUGGGGAUGGACUCGCGGCUUAUCAGCUUGUUGGUGGGGUAGUGGCUUACCAAGGCUUUGACGGGUAGCCGGCCUGAGAGGGUGACCGGCCACAUUGGGACUGAGAUACGGCACAGACUCCUACGGGAGGCAGCAGUGGGGAAUAUUGCACAAUGGGCGGAAGCCUGAUGCAGCAACGCCGCGUGCGGGAUGACGGCCUUCGGGUUGUAAACCGCUUUCGCCUGUGACGAAGCGUGAGUGACGGUAAUGGGUAAAGAAGCACCGGCUAACUACGUG